Molecule: long non-coding RNA, 1573 nt
Filed under: Zea mays
Lineage: Eukaryota; Viridiplantae; Streptophyta; Magnoliopsida; Poales; Poaceae
Description: long non-coding RNA (ZMAY_LNC003273)
Source: RNAcentral
UGAUCUUAUCAUGAACAGUAAAUAAUAAACUGAUAAUAAAAAGUGUAAUAAUGAGUGAUGUAUAUCUCCAUACCCAAAACCAUAUAAAGCAAUAGCAUAUACUACCCAAAAAUAUUCAGUGGUAAAACAAGGUAUAAAGAUAGCCAAAACUGGGUAACCUAUUGGAUCCCAUCAAAAUUAACCUAUGCAGAUCAUUAUGAUUAAUAAGAACAUGACUGGGUAAAAAGGAAGUGAUCAAGGGCACAACUUGCUUUCAAUGAGCUCCUGCUCAGCAACUUCUAUCUGUUGGGCACCAGGAUCCUCUGUGGCUUGCUCAUCUACUCGCAUCAAUACAAACAUACAUAGUAUAAAGAGAAAAUUAACAUCAUACCAAACAUGUAAACAAAAUACAUAAUAAUAAUAUACACAUUAAAAUGAUAUCAUAGGAACAAGAAUUAAUAAUUUUGGAGUUAUAGAUUUUAAGAUAUGAAUUUCCCAAGGUUUUAUGCAUUUAAUACAAGAUCAAGUAAUAGAUAAAUUUUUAUGUGUCUUUCAUGCCAAAACAGUGGCACUAAUGGAUAGACAAUAAUAUUACAAAAAAUUAGGAACUGGAAUGGACCAAUUUGGAGUUCAUAUGCAUUUUCUAUUAAUUAUACAAAUUCUAGGAAUUGUUUCCUAUUAAAAACUCAUUUUCUAAAUAAAGUCUAUAGAUUUUAGAUCUAUCUGGACCGCGCACCAAUUAAUCAGAAGCAUAGGGGCUAGCGUGCAAGAAUUCCUGCGCUGUACAGGGUGUACUGUGGGUUUGUUCUCUAAAAUUAUAUGGGGUUUUCUGCAAAGUGGCAUGGCGAAGGGGUAUUGGCCGAUUACGGCCGUCCGAUUAGAAACGAACGGUGCCGAUUAGAUCGCCCAACACCCACGCCGCCCGAUCUGAAUCCAAGAGCCCGAAUCGGCCCAGCGAUACAUCCGCCCUACCAAUAAUCUUGUCCGUUCCAUUUGCAUUCAAUGAUCUCGAUUUAAAACGCCUACGACCGCAUAUGCACCCGUCGUGAUCAAUUCAAUGGCCCAGAUUUUUUUAUACGGUGGCACACUCUGGACCGUUGAUCUAUCCAUCGACUGCCCACAUCCCAUCUUCCUCCUCCCGACCCUCUCUUCCAAAACAGAAAACGGCGGAGGUGGCCAUCGCCGACGAGGCUAAUCCUCGGUAUAGGCGCACCAAAUUUCAAUUCAACGGCUCUACAUGUUGUGGUAAUCAAAGCGGACCUGGGCAAAGUUUCCAUACCGGGAAUUGCGUGUGCAGGCGUGACGUCCACGGGGUGGAGCAGCUUCAUGGCGGAAGGCAAGGUUCGGCGAACAAUUCCCGGUUGCCUGGUGAUUGAUUCCACCCGCGAACGCCACAUACAACCCCCCGAUGGCACGCACAAGCCCACGACCCAGCCCAAGAUCCCGGCCAACGGCGAAGAACAGACUGGUGGCGGCGCGGAUGUUUACUUGACGCAGGGGCAUGGUUCUCUCUCUCCUUCUCAGCUUGGGCCCUAAUAAGUUCGCGAGAAGCUAGUCCCAGAAGCGGCGCACGCGCUUAUAUGCGGAGGAGGUU